GGAGGAAGGUGGGGAUGACGUCAAGUCAUCAUGGCCUUUAUGCCCAGGGCUACACACGUGCUACAAUGGCCGGCACAGACGGCAGCUUAGUGGCGACACUUGGCAAAUCCUCUAAAGCCGGUCCCAGUUCGGAUUGCAGUCUGCAACUCGACUGCAUGAAGCCGGAAUCGCUAGUAAUCGCAGAUCAGCCAAGCUGCGGUGAAUACGUUCCCGGGCCUU
This 219-nucleotide ribosomal RNA is filed under the name uncultured Thermovirga sp. RNAcentral describes it as "partial 16S ribosomal RNA". It matches the Rfam family "Bacterial small subunit ribosomal RNA", at positions 1165 to 1382 of the family's 1533-position model. The record is from RNAcentral. Lineage: Bacteria; Thermotogati; Synergistota; Synergistia; Synergistales; Thermovirgaceae.